RNAcentral lists this ribosomal RNA (505 nucleotides) under uncultured bacterium. RNAcentral describes it as "partial 16S ribosomal RNA". It matches the Rfam family "Bacterial small subunit ribosomal RNA", at positions 28 to 507 of the family's 1533-position model. The record is from RNAcentral.
GACGAACGCUGGCGGCGUGCCUAAUACAUGCAAGUAGAACGCACAGUUUAUACCGUAGCUUGCUACACCAUAGACUGUGAGUUGCGAACGGGUGAGUAACGCGUAGGUAACCUGCCUGGUAGCGGGGGGUAACUAUUGGAAACGAUAGCUAAUACCGCAUAAUAUUGAUUAUUGCAUGAUAAUUGAUUGAAAGAUGCUAUUGCAUCACUACCAGAUGGACCUGCGUUGUAUUAGCUAGUAGGUGAGGUAACGGCUCACCUAGGCGACGAUACAUAGCCGACCUGAGAGGGUGAUCGGCCACACUGGGACUGAGACACGGCCCAGACUCCUACGGGAGGCAGCAGUAGGGAAUCUUCGGCAAUGGACGAAAGUCUGACCGAGCAACGCCGCGUGAGUGAAGAAGGUUUUCGGAUCGUAAAGCUCUGUUGUAAGAGAAGAACGGAUGUGAGAGUGGAAAGUUCACACUGUGACGGUAUCUUACCAGAAAGGGACGGCUAACUACGUG